AAAAAAUCAGUGCCACAAGCAGUAGAUUGCCUCAGGGAUGAAAAGCUGGCCUCUAGCCAUCUUCCUCUGUUUCACCAGGCCUCCUUGGUUCAUCCAGGCAGCAUGGGCUGGAAGUUAUGAGUUCCACCUUCCUGCUCCUACCGCUCUCAAGAGAGACAAAUUAGAAGGUCAGUAAAGAAAGGCUACCGCUACCGAAAAACCUUCCUUUCCAGCACCUGAGAAGGUGUUUUGAGUUGGAUUGAGGAAAGAGGAAAACCCCACAGACUUCACAUGGAGCACGAGCAGUGUCGUCGCCCCAGUUCAGAAGGAAGGUGCUACAGCGCAGCAGGCUCCUGGGAAAGGAUCGGCAAAGACCUCCUCCACCCCCAGCGCCCAAGCGCCUGCAGGUGCCUCCCUUGUUGGUAGUUUGUUACUCAGGUAGUAAACUGCAGCAUAAUGAACAGAGCAAAGAGGAAGUGCCUGGGAGAGCUGCGCUGAAGCCUAGCACCUGCCUUUUCUCACCCGCCAGCAAGUUACACUUAGUGAACUGGAUUUUCCUGAACUGUUCAAGCAAUGGUAAGGUGCCAAAAAUUCUAAUUUUAGGGGGCAGGAGUAUUUUUAAACCAAGAGCCAGACUGGAGCAGUGAGCCAUACAGUUGAAUCAGCAGAGGUAGUGAGUUUACAGAGGGCUGGUGGUGGGUAGAUGGCAACUGGAGCAGCUUGAAUCUGCUCACUGCUCACAAAACAGUUCUGGGG
RNAcentral lists this long non-coding RNA (735 nucleotides) under Struthio camelus australis. RNAcentral's name for it is "lncRNA (ENSSCUG00000000727.1)". The record is from RNAcentral. Lineage: Eukaryota; Metazoa; Chordata; Aves; Struthioniformes; Struthionidae.